This 470-nucleotide ribosomal RNA is filed under the name uncultured bacterium. RNAcentral's name for it is "bacterial SSU rRNA". It matches the Rfam family "Bacterial small subunit ribosomal RNA", at positions 30 to 478 of the family's 1533-position model. The record is from RNAcentral.
AUUGAACGUUGGCGGCAGGCCUAAAACAUGCAAGUCGAACGGUAACAGCGAGAGCUUGCUCUCGGCUGACAAGUGGCGAACGGGUGAGUAACACGUAGGAAUCUACCCAAUAGUGGGGGACAACCCGGGGAAACCCGGGCUAAUACCGCAUACGCUCUCCUAUCGAAGGAUAGGAAAGGAAAGCGGGGGAUCUUCGGACCUCGCGCUAUUGGAGGAGCCUGCGUCGGAUUAGCUAGUUGGUAGGGAAAAGCCUACCAAGGCGACGAUCCGUAGCUGGUCUGAGAGGACGAUCAGCCACACUGGAACUGAGACACGGUCCAGACUCCUACGGGAGGCAGCAGUUAGGAAUCUUGGGCAAUGGGCGCAAGCCUGACCCAGCCAUGCCGCGUGUGUGAAGAAGACCCUGGGUUGUAAAGCACUUUCAGUGGCGAAGAAAGCGAGGGAUUAAUACUCCCGCGUCUUGACGUUAG